RNAcentral lists this long non-coding RNA (753 nucleotides) under Homo sapiens (human). RNAcentral describes it as "HSALNT0126103". Lineage: Eukaryota; Metazoa; Chordata; Mammalia; Primates; Hominidae. The record is from RNAcentral.
GCAAACCAGAGACCAGACUAACAAGAGAUGUGCAGACGGCUAUACAGCAACUCCCAAAUCGAAAUGAUUGCAUGAAGCUCGUUCAAAUAUCCAAAGGCAUAAAUUAAGCACUGAGACCGUCUGUCCCUAAAAUGUGUCAGUCAGACAGACAGAUGACUGAGGGAAGACAGCUGAUGUUUCCGUCGUUUGCAAAAAUACAGUACUCUGAUUUUGAGGGGGAGGCACCAAAAUUCGUGAUUCAACUUUGAAAGCAAUGUUCAAAGUUUAAAAAAAAAAUUUAAAGCUUGAAAAAUGUCCCUGGAAAGGAACAUGAAGACAAGUGUUAUGAAAAGAUGAAAGUCUCUCCCUUCAAUGAAAUGAAGGAAAAACAUCAUUGCACCAGCCACGUGGAUGCUCCUGACAGCAGCGUCUCCUUGGGGAGGGUUGGAGGGGCGGUGGCUGUUUUUCCUUGUGGGAGAAGAGCUGGGAUGAGAACUCCAGGGAAACCCGCAAGAGUGGAUCCAGGCUUUGUGAGGCCUGAAGCUUAGACACUUCAGGGGAUUCCCGUUGAGGGAAAGAAUAUGUAAAUACAAUAUAAGCUUAGGUACGAAAGUGAAUGUUUAUUUAAAAUGAGAAAAGAAAUCACUACAAAGUAUAGGCACCCUGUAUAUUCAGGUCCCUUUCUUCUGCCACCCGUUUAGGUAACUUACUAGAGAUGUUUGCAGACUCCAUCCUGAUUUCUCUCUCCACCCAGAACACUCUAUGGCUCCCAGC